This 776-nucleotide long non-coding RNA is filed under the name Homo sapiens (human). RNAcentral's name for it is "HSALNT0008060". The record is from RNAcentral. Lineage: Eukaryota; Metazoa; Chordata; Mammalia; Primates; Hominidae.
GGCAGUUUGAAAGGCCUCCAAAAAAGCAUGACAUUCAAUCAAAGUUCAGCAAGGAAAGUUUUAAUGAAUAAACUUAGUAAAUUAGAAAGCACUGCGGCAGAGUGAUUAACUCUCAUUUGGGCAUUAGUGUUGAAAUUAAUUAAAAUGUUUAAGCCAUAGGAGGCAGGCUACCUCGUCAGGACCUGGCUCUGCCCUCGGAGUCAGUCUGGAUCCAGGAGUGAUUCAUCUUACACAGAUGAGAGGGGGAUAAAAGGAAAAGAACAGUCAGGACAAAUGUGUUUUCAAUGGUGCUUAGCAGCAGGAGACCACUGGGACUUCAGAGCAACGCUACUGGAGUGUGACAUCAUAAUACGCCUUUCUCUGGAAUGGACCGAAUAUGGAAUAACAUGGACAUGUCUGAUGCACAUCUGGAGAUGGGACGGCAGCGCAUAAUACUUCCUGGAACUGCGAGACAAUGGGGUUGUCUUUUGACAUUGAGGCAGGUUAUUAAAUAGAAGUGUGAACUAUUAAGAGAUGAUCUUGACCCUCAAUACAUUUUUAUCAAAGUCAAAAAAUAUUUGACACCACUGAACAGCUUAUCACAGGCACAAAAGGGGAAAUGCUUUAUUAUGGAAAUGUGUACUAUGUUCUUCAAAACAGAAGAAUAAAAAUAUAUGCAUUUUUAAAUGAAUAACAGCUUGUAAGACUCCCAAUGAUUAACAGCAGUUGUACAUUAAGUAUUCUCUGAAAUGAUAUUUGUAAACUGGAGGGUUGACCAAUCUUAGUGCGAACUUCCU